GAGAGGACGAGGAAGAACGCAGAUAAAUAAACCAUUAUUGUGAUAUGAGAAGACAAUUUUCUCACUGCUGUCGCUCAACACUCGUAAUCCUGCCCAGUCCUGCCGAGGAGGUGCACUUGAGAAGACGUAACUAUACAGCAAAAUGGAGUCAAGGUCAUUCAGAAUGAAGUGGUUCACAAUCAUCGCGCACGCUUCAUGGCCGUGCUUUGAGAGGGCAGGUAUCAGCUUCAGCAGAGCUCUCAUGUCCUGAGCACCUGGCACAGUGAAUUAAUGCGGUUCAUGGGACUGGAAAGUGGCUCAAGCUCCGGUGCGUUUCUGCAGCCAUCUCAGCUCACACGCAGAUAUACACUCAGAUCUAUUGUUAUCCACGAUCAGAACAAGAUGUUCCUGAGCUUCCAGGAGAGAAGAAGACAGCUCAGGAAUCUAAAGCUGCUAGAGAGACAAGGAAAAUAUGCAGGGGUUAGGGUAUAUGUGCGUGUGUGUGUGUGUGUGUGUGUGUGUGUGUGUG
Labrus bergylta (ballan wrasse) is the source of this 508-nucleotide non-coding RNA. NCBI's taxonomy places the organism in Eukaryota, Metazoa, Chordata, Actinopteri, Labriformes, Labridae. The record is from RefSeq and is a predicted model, not a curated record.